Molecule: long non-coding RNA, 340 nt
Filed under: Vulpes vulpes (red fox)
Lineage: Eukaryota; Metazoa; Chordata; Mammalia; Carnivora; Canidae
Description: Myocardial infarction associated transcript exon 5 conserved region 3 (ENSVVUG00000015733.1)
Rfam family: Myocardial infarction associated transcript exon 5 conserved region 3
About the family: MIAT (myocardial infarction associated transcript), also known as RNCR2 (retinal non-coding RNA 2) or Gomafu, is a noncoding RNA.
Source: RNAcentral
CAGAGCCCGCCAGUCGCUGAGCCAGCCGGGGCCACACCUGGGGGUGACGUCACGCCUCACCUCCAGGAGGCACCUGGGCCUGUGUGUGGGCUCCCUCCGGCCCCUCUGCACUAACUUGCUCUCCCGCGGCUGCCUCGGGGGGCUGCCCGCCUGGGGGCCGCGGGCUCCGGGCUCCGGGCUCCCGGCCCGGCUCCGUCCAGCUUCGCCUCGACUAACCCCUGCCCUCCCGGUCUGUUCCUCGCAGCGGACACUAACGGCUUGUGGGUUUCUCUCUACUAACACCAGGUCUAACGCUCCUCGUUACCGUCACGUUAGCAGCUUGGAUGUCGGCAUGGCUGGG